Molecule: long non-coding RNA, 292 nt
Organism: Syzygium oleosum
Lineage: Eukaryota; Viridiplantae; Streptophyta; Magnoliopsida; Myrtales; Myrtaceae
Exons: 2
Source: RefSeq, a predicted model, not a curated record
GGGGUAUUUAGUUCUCUCAAUGAGAGAGAAUAUGAUCGUAUCUUCUUCUCUGAUCAAGGAGUCUCUCACCGUUUCAAGUGUCAUUACAUUGGAGUCUGCUACUUCCAUGCCGUCUGCCUCAAAACAGUUGCCAACGCGCGCUUCAAUUCAAUGGCAGCAGUGUUUGAACAAAAAAGUCACGAACCUCGACAACUUUCUCGAAGAACCCGAGCAAGAACCAGGAGAAGAACAAGCUACGAUGUGGGUGUCGACCAGAUGGCGUUCCCGAUAAAAAUGAGAGCGUACACGGCAA